RNAcentral lists this microRNA precursor (52 nucleotides) under Callithrix jacchus (white-tufted-ear marmoset). RNAcentral's name for it is "mir-1302 microRNA precursor family". It matches the Rfam family "mir-1302 microRNA precursor family". Lineage: Eukaryota; Metazoa; Chordata; Mammalia; Primates; Cebidae. The record is from Rfam by way of RNAcentral.
UUUUUAGUGUAAGUAUAUCUCAUGCAAUGUUUGAGGCAUGCUUACACUAAAA